CCCGCUGAACUUAAGCAUAUCAAUAAGCGGAGGAAAAGAAACUAACAAGGAUUCCCCUAGUAACGGCGAGUGAAGCGGGAACAGCUCAAAUUUGAAACCUGGCGUCCUUCGGGCGUCCGGAUUGUAUUCUAGAGAAGCGUCUUCCACGCUGGUCCAUAUAUAAGUGCCCUGGAACGGGCUGUCAUAGAGGGUGAGAAUCCCGUCCUUGACAUGGGCUACCAGUGUUUUUGUGAUGCGCUUUCUAAGAGUCGAGUUGUUUGGGAAUGCAGCUCAAAGUGGGUGGUAAAUUCCAUCUAAAGCUAAAUAUUGGCCUGAGACCGAUAGCGAACAAGUACCGUGAGGGAAAGAUGAAAAGCACUUUGAAAAGAGAGUCAAACAGUACGUGAAAUUGCUGAAAGGGAAACGCUUGAAGUCAGUCGCGCCCCCUGGAAUUCAGCCCUGCUUUUGUAGGGUGUACUUUCCAGGGGGCGGGUCAACAUCAGUUUCGACCGGCAGAUAAAGGCCGGGGGAAUGUGACUCCUUUCGGAGUGUUAUAGUCUCUAGUCGCAUGCAAGGGUCGGGAUUGAGGAACUCAGCACGCGCCUUCGGGCGUCGGGGUUCGCCCACGAUACGUGCUUAGGAUGUUGGCGUAAUGGCUUUAAACGACCCGUCUUGAAACACGG
RNAcentral lists this ribosomal RNA (662 nucleotides) under uncultured fungus. RNAcentral's name for it is "eukaryotic LSU rRNA". It matches the Rfam family "Eukaryotic large subunit ribosomal RNA", at positions 24 to 664 of the family's 3401-position model. The record is from RNAcentral. Lineage: Eukaryota; Fungi.